UCAGUUUCCGCGUUUGGAAGAUGCACAUUUGAUUCGAUCAGAUGAAGUUUAUCAUGAGGAGCAGAUCCUGAAAGGAACAGAAGGCAGAGGUGCGACCUGAGGAGGGCUGGUCGAGCACUGGUCCUAGCCCAGCAUUUGCCGUCGAAGCUGUGCCGCGCGCCUAUUUGUACGAAAGCAAGGCCUACGCCAUCGUUGGAGGCCAGUCCGCCUUCGCUCUAGAAUUGGCCGAAUGGUUGAUGGGCAGAGGGUGUCGCAAGUCGCUCCUUAACUCCUUAUUCAGGGUGAAAGAAAUAGGGUUCCAGCGUUUCCGGGUUCACAGAUGGCAGCGCGCUGGAGUCAGGGUGCUCGCCAGCGACGUCGACGUAUCAACGAAGGAAGGACCGUCACGGAUUGUCCAUCAAGCCACGGUCAUGGGGCCCGUCGGUGGCAUCUAUAAUCUGCUUGCGUUACCUCUGGACGCACAUAUGAUGGAACAUAAUGGCGAUGAGCUCGACGUUUUCAUCAAGCUGAAAGUUGACGGCACCUGACAUUUCGACGAGCUGUCUAGAAAAUGUUGCCCACACCUCGACUACUUCCUCGUCUUCUCAUCUCUGUGCUCAAGUUGUGGUAGCCCUUGGGAGCCAUACAGUAGCUACGCCGACUCUGUCGUUGAACGCAUUUGCGAGAACCGAGCCGCGGAUGGACUACCCGGACUCGCCAUACAGUGGGGCGCCCUCGAAAACGGUAGCCCCACUGACCAUACGACGAGCCCCGAGGGGACGUUGGAUGGCACACUGCCCCAGCGAAUCAGCUCCUGCUUGAAUGUAAUUGAACGGUUCCUGAGCCAAAGCCAUCCGGUCGUCUCAAGCUUUGUCAGGGCUAACCUGUCUUCGGAGUCCCGCAAGGCCGCAGAUAAACCGGACCUCGUUUACCCCGUGACACGCAUUUUCGGUAUUCCAAUAGUGUUUUUGAACUUAUCUGAUUCAUCCUGUCGCGCACCUAUUCAACAGAUUCCCGCCUUUAGCGCGCGUAUCUUCGGGAAAACAAAGCUUACUUGCGAACUUAGCACUCGUAACAUCAAGAUAAGGGAAGGUGACAUGCGCCCGAAUGUAUUUCUACGUCGGUGACGACUUACCUAAGUGUCAGUGUCCUACACCUGUGUACGAAUGAAGAAUUGAAAUCGGUAAUCGAAUGUAUCAGUGCAUGAUUUCUUGGAAAUUGCUUUUCUUUUGUUAAUGAGGAGGUAAAGAAAUUGUAGAACGAACGAAAAGAUGUGUCUUGGUGCAGAAAUCAUGGCUGUUCCGAGUAGCAGCCUCAACCACUCCGCAUCGUUUCGGUGCAUUAAAGAGAAGGGUACUACCAUUAUGCAGAACUAGCCUAAACCCACUGCGUUAGUAACCGUGCUAACUCUGGUAAUAAGGUACCUGGAUUGCUUUAGCGUAACACUAAACUCCCACCCUUCUCAGUUAGGCACCUUGCUUAUUAAGUUUCCUUACUUCUUAAACUUGAAUAUGGCAAUGCGGCGUUAUGUCUCUACAAAUCUAACUAAAACUACAGAAUAAAAACAAAACCACGAGACUAGGCUCAUUCAUGACGGGUUCUCUUGUAACACCGGCAUUAAGAACACUGCUUUAACGUGCUCCACUCGCUCCCCGCUUUUUAGAUCACACCCCUCUGCCAUUACCACAAUGUAUUUAUGCUUUCCCAGCAUUCAAGAACCCGAUCCGCCCAGUCCCCAGUGUUUCCCACCGCAGCUACCCCAACGCCGUUUUUUUUUCUUCAACAGCUCAUGCACCCACAAUGCAGUGGCCCUUUUUCCUACGCACAAUCAAAUACAGGAAUCGGCUGACAGCCCGUCAUGGCCAUGAUGAAUUAUCCAUCUCGGUUCGAAACCGCCAUCACUGCUUGACCUUGCUGACUGUACAAAUGUGGCGCCACUUUCAACUCUCAUCCUCCUUGUAAUGUCCCACCAUGGGUACAAUGAAUGAAUGAAUGAAUGAAUGAAUGAAUGAAUGAAUGAAUGAACGAAUGAAUGAAUGAGAAACAAAUAAAUCAGCCAGUAUCCACGACCACAGACUUGAUGGCGGCUGCUGUUGUUAAAUGUUGCCCCACCGCCCCGGACAUGAGGUAGUUGUAGCCUCGCCUUUAAUCUGCUACAAGGUGCCUUUCCCGCUUUAGUUUCGAUUUGCCUAUUGAUUAUACAUUUCAAUUAGGCGUCACAGUAAUUUGUCUUGUGCUUUUCAUCGCUCCAUUGUUUGUUUAUUCCUAUAUUCGUAACUAACUUGGU
Long non-coding RNA from Dermacentor andersoni, 2266 nucleotides. RefSeq lists it as uncharacterized. The record is from RefSeq and is a predicted model, not a curated record. Lineage: Eukaryota; Metazoa; Arthropoda; Arachnida; Ixodida; Ixodidae.